GCGAUACAGACUAUCUCUUAUGCCCAGUUUUGUCCUAAUAUCCAACUGAAUUAAAGAAUGUUCAGUUCACUAAAACCCAUUAAUAUAAAUAUACAGAAAAAAGAAAUAAAGAGCAGUACAUUGCAUGUGCAGAGCACUUAAUUUACAUGAGAGCUUUCUCAAUGUAAAAUCUGUACAAAUUACAAAGUUCUCAACAAUUUUGCGACAAUAUGCCCAAGUGUUCACGUAUUUUUGAGAUUCUUCUCUAUUUGAUUAUUUUUCUUAAUGCUACAUGGCUUUCUAUGAAAUAAUCGAGAUCUGUCAAAGGUCUUUUCUAUCAAAAGAUGUUUAUCUUUCCCUUGUACAGUUCCUCCUUUAAUUUCUCUCCCCCCACACACCAUAAUAAAAUAAAUUAUGAAUUCUUUUUGUCAACGUCUAUGAUGAAUCAUAUAGCUUAUACCAUGUAAUAUUAACUAUUGAAGAUGUAACAUUGAUGGUAACCAAUAAUAAGUAUCUAGAAUACAGCGUACCAGCAUAUAACAUAAACCUAUAAUUUAAACACAAGUAACAUUCAUAUCAUGGAUGGGUUCAUGACAAAAAGUCAUGUUUCUCAAACUACCUAUCAUUGACAUCAGUCCACAAGAAUUAAUAAAGUUGCAUAUUGUUUUUGUGUGGAAACUACAAAUAUUUGCUUUGUUAUAAAAGCUUAAAUGCAACAAGAUUAUUGCAAAAGUCACAAAAGGAAGUUUUCACAAAAUGCACGGAUAGACAACUAAUUAGAUAUAUCGUUCACCUAAAUUUCUUUAUCAAGAUACCUUUCCAUAAUGUUUUAUGCUAAGUUUAUGAUGGAUGUGGUGACUAUACACAUAGGCAUAUCAUAUCAUUAAUAAUUCUAUAUAAAGGAUGCAACACAAUAAUGAUGAAGAUUCCAUCUCUUAUAAUACACGAGUUUCUAAAAGUUCCAUCAUACUAACAAUUUCCCUUCAAUUCCUUGUAUGUAGAUGUAAUAUUUGAAUGCCACUCAGUACUCUAUAUGUAUAUUGUCCUCUCAAGUCAUUUGUGCCAACUCCCUUUUCUGCUUUAAAAUGAGUAUGGACAUAUAUAGAAAUUCCAAACAAACUGAUAAUCCAGCUUAUUAGUCACAUAUAUUAUAAUCACACACCAAGAAUAUUUGCUGUUUAUUUUCUCGAUUUGAUGCUGAUUCUGACAUUCAGGUAUAUGUUAAUUUAUUUUAAGGGAAACACCUAAUGGUUUGAAAAAUCCUGAAGUUGCAAUUUUUCAAUUGAAUUUUAUGCUCUUAAUUUUAUCAAUUUUGUUUAUAAGUUACAACUUUUGUGUCAAUUGUAUCAAAUAGGUCUAAAUUGUAUGUUGGCAUUGAUUUGGUGCUAACGUGGACUUCCGAAAUGGGAAAAGAAUUGCUAAAUUGGACAAUGUGAGCCCUUCCUACGUCCUACAAAUUAUUUUGAUGGAAAUUAACAAGAACAACAAGAUUCUAGGGAUGUUCGUGAGAUGAUUCAAAAUGCAAUUGCACAAGAAGCUCCAA
Molecule: unclassified non-coding RNA, 1522 nt
Filed under: Hevea brasiliensis (rubber tree)
Lineage: Eukaryota; Viridiplantae; Streptophyta; Magnoliopsida; Malpighiales; Euphorbiaceae
Source: RNAcentral